UACGGAGGAUGCAAGCGUUAUCCGGAAUUAUUGGGCGUAAAGCGUCCGCAGGUGGUUAUCCAAGUCUGCUGUUAAAGCGCGAGGCUUAACUUCGUACAGGCAGUGGAAACUGGGUGACUGGAGUAUGGUAGGGGUAGCGGGAAUUCCCAGUGUAGCGGUGAAAUGCGUAGAUAUUGGGAAGAACACCAGCGGCGAAAGCGCGCUACUGGGCCAUUACUGACACUCAUGGACGAAAGCUAGGGGAGCGAAUGGG
Molecule: ribosomal RNA, 253 nt
Filed under: uncultured bacterium
Lineage: Bacteria
Description: partial 16S ribosomal RNA
Rfam family: Bacterial small subunit ribosomal RNA
Source: RNAcentral